AAAAUUCUGAUUUCUGACAGAUUUAUUAUAAACGCGUCUUGUGCAAACUUAUUUACUAAAGGAUGUUAUUUGAAUUGUAAAACUUUUUGGUUUUUGAAAUUAUAGGGCCAAUAGAGGUCUCAUUGUACCUCUUGUUACAUCGAUGACCAUUUUACAAUUUAUUUAUUUUUUAAACAAACGCAGUGAAAUUAACGCAUUUAAAAAUUAUCAUCUAAUUAAAUAUUGCGGGAAAUGAAACUUUUGACCAACAUUCUGUGAUUUGGUGUUCACUUUUUUAAUUAUUAGUUUUUGCAGUCAGAAAAUAGUAGAAAACAUUUUGUUUAGACUCACAGGCACUUCGCUCUGAAUGUUUUUUUACCAAUAUUAUUCAAUAUUAUAAAAGUAUAUUGGUAAAAACAUUUUCAAAGACAAGUGACUAUGCUUAGUGCUCAUUUUUUUUUACAUAAAUAAGGCCGUUAGUUUUCUCGUUUGAUUUUUUUUACAUUGUCUUAUAUCGGGGCCUUUUAUAGCUGACUAUGCGGUAUGGACUUUACUCAUUGUUGAAGGCCCUAUGGUGAACUAUAGGUGUUAAUGUCUGUGUCAUUUUGGUCUUUUGUGGAUAGUUGUCUCAUUGGCAAUCAUACCACAUCUUCUUUUUUAUAUUUAGACUAUAAACUUGUUCUUUCUUAUGGUGUGAUCGUGUACCCAGAAGUAUACAUGUUGUUUUCUGUUAUCAUCACUAUACUAUUACUGGGACCAGUAUAUCUAACAUCAACAUAUGUGUUCCUGGUCGGCUGUCGACUACUUUAUAGUUUACAAAUAUUUAAUUCUUUGAUACUUAUUUCUAUUAAAAUUUUUGGAGCGAUGCAAUGUACUGUAAAAUGUACUAUUAUAAUAUUACUUUCUUUUUAAUUGAAAACCGUUUGCCUUUAAGUACGUCUGCUUAAAUACAAUCACACCAAUUUCCAUAUGCUCUGACCAAAUUUAAUAACCAGUUACUUUGAUUGAAAAGAUUGAAAGUUGAUGACCUGUUCUAAAAUUCCAUUGUUUUGAUGUCGUUGUUCUCAAAAAGUUGUUUGUGGGAAGGUCAACACAAUGUACUGGGUUCUGUUGACACCGUAAACAAAACGACAAUGAGCAACACUGCUGAGAAAUAGAACCGUAUCAUUACAUAUUGUAAGAAUGUAAAUCAUUUUCAUUUUCUUUUUAUCUUUUGACAAUAUUUACCACAUGGAUAGUGUCAUGGCUUUGUAUAAACCAACAAUGAAAUUUUGAAAGAAGACAAAGUUUGUUGAGAAAAAAAAGAGAAAUGUACGUAAAUAAUGGCAUAAAAGAAGAUAUGUUGUUCAAUUUAAACUUAUGUUAUCAUAAAAUAUCAGGUAGAUUUAUUAAAUAAUUUAUUGACGUAAAUGUACUUUUGUUA
This 1402-nucleotide long non-coding RNA is filed under the name Mytilus galloprovincialis (Mediterranean mussel). Lineage: Eukaryota; Metazoa; Mollusca; Bivalvia; Mytilida; Mytilidae. The record is from RNAcentral.